UCAUUACCGAGUGCGGGUCCUUUGGGCCCAACCUCCCAUCCGUGUCUAUUAUACCCUGUUGCUUCGGCGGGCCCGCCGCUUGUCGGCCGCCGGGGGGGCGCCUUUGCCCCCCGGGCCCGUGCCCGCCGGAGACCCCAACACGAACACUGUCUGAAAGCGUGCAGUCUGAGUUGAUUGAAUGCAAUCAGUUAAAACUUUCAACAAUGGAUCUCUUGGUUCCGGCAUCGAUGAAGAACGCAGCGAAAUGCGAUAACUAAUGUGAAUUGCAGAAUUCAGUGAAUCAUCGAGUCUUUGAACGCACAUUGCGCCCCCUGGUAUUCCGGGGGGCAUGCCUGUCCGAGCGUCAUUGCUGCCCUCAAGCCCGGCUUGUGUGUGGGGUCGCCGUCCCCCUCUCCGGGGGGACGGGCCCGAAAGGCAGCGGCGGCACCGCGUCCGAUCCUCGAGCGUAUGGGGCUUUGUCACAUGCUCUGUAGGAUUGGCCGGCGCCUGCCGACGUUUUCCAACCAUUUUUUCCAGGUUGACCUCGGAUCAGGUAGGGAUACCCGCUGAACUUAAGCAUAUCAAUAAGCGGAGGAAAAGAAA
This 582-nucleotide ribosomal RNA is filed under the name fungal sp. Its description in RNAcentral is "eukaryotic LSU rRNA". The stretch from base 193 to 346 matches the Rfam family "5.8S ribosomal RNA". Lineage: Eukaryota; Fungi. The record is from RNAcentral.